AUCGCUUUGCCGUAAAUUUUCGGUGAAAAAACACCGAAAACUGUAAAUUAGUGUUGCUGUCAACACAAACGUCAAGUUUCGAGCGCACAUUUUUUGCAGCUUUGAGCGCAACCGUCUCUUUUUGAUAACCGCGAUGUAUUAGUGGCGUCCCGCUUGCGCAAAAUCAAUUUGAAACGUUUUUAAUUUUUGCAUAUGCGCAGGGGGUGCUUUCAAUCGAGCAGUAAAGUUUCGGUAUCACGUGUUUGUAGAUGAUGUUGGGGGUCAAAAUGUUCAACCGCUGCGUGUUGAAGUUAAUUAAGACCAUUAAUUGUGAUUGAAAAAAGUGAAUCUAAUGUGUCAAACAUCUUUCGGUGACUGUUUAAAACCACAUUCCACCAGUUAUUUAAAAAAAAAACCUCAAAACCACAACGGUAAAAGAGCACCAGGCUCUGUAAUUUGACUUGAAUUCCUCAGGUUCAACAGGCAAGUUCAGUACGGUAAAGUAAUCUGAGGUUUUCGCCUACUUUUUAAAUUUAAGACCAAAUAACCCGCCUGACACUGAUGCUGAUAAUAAGUGUUUUGCGUUUCCGAAAUUUAGGUUGUUUUGGAUUCAUUUCGAGGACGGCUGUUCCAUUAAUCUUAACUGUAGGCAGAUAAACAACCAAAUUGAAACGAUGGAAUUGGAUUAACAACCGACCGAACAGUUUGGAAGUGCAGGAAACAAAUUUGAAUUCAUCCGUGGCCUUCAUGGAAAAUACUACUUAAUACCUCAAAAAACCUUCCAAUGGAGCUCUUUCGUUUAUUUGCAGGUAAUUUUUGUAUGACUUUUCUGUGUCGUAAAUUUAUUAAAAUAAUUCAUUCUUACAGGAACCGGAACAUUCUGCUUACCAGCUUGGUUAAAGUUGGCUGAAUACCAGUUGGUGCCAUUAUCGAUGACGGAUCUAUGGUUGGAGCUGAUGCCAAUGCUGUUAUCAAAGUUAUCAUCGCAGUUAUACGAAAGCUAUUCGCGCUUCUAAACCUUGUUAUUAUCUGAUGGAUGUAAAGAAUUCGAUCAUCGAUGUGUAUGCUGAUAGGAUUUGCUCAGCGCUUGUUAAUGAGAAAAACUAUGCUCCUGCUACAAAGUCAAUUCCUUGUGGCCCUCAGUUUUCAGUUUCAGGAAACACAAUGAAAAGAUAUUUAAACAAGAAUGGAAAUAGAGAUACAAGGAAAUUAUUUUUGCUCAAAUAAUUUAAGGAAAGGUUUGUUUUAAGAAUUAAAUCUUAGAGUUUUAUCAUUUCUUGUACGUUAUAAUUCUAAUUAAAAA
Molecule: long non-coding RNA, 1282 nt
Organism: Uranotaenia lowii
Lineage: Eukaryota; Metazoa; Arthropoda; Insecta; Diptera; Culicidae
Exons: 3
Source: RefSeq, a predicted model, not a curated record